This 84-nucleotide transfer RNA is filed under the name Nanobdellota archaeon. Its description in RNAcentral is "tRNA-Leu". It matches the Rfam family "tRNA". Rfam says of the family: Transfer RNA (tRNA) molecules are approximately 80 nucleotides in length. Lineage: Archaea; Nanobdellati; Nanobdellota. The record is from RNAcentral.
GCAGAGGUGCCGGAGUGGUCAAACGGAGCACGUUUAGGCCGUGCUGGCUUAGUGCCUUCAUGGGUUCGAAUCCUAUCCUCUGCA